RNAcentral lists this ribosomal RNA (497 nucleotides) under uncultured bacterium. RNAcentral's name for it is "partial 16S ribosomal RNA". It matches the Rfam family "Bacterial small subunit ribosomal RNA", at positions 28 to 507 of the family's 1533-position model. The record is from RNAcentral.
GAUGAACGCUGGCGGCGUGCCUAAUACAUGCAAGUCGAGCGAACAGAUAAGGAGCUUGCUCCUUUGACGUUAGCGGCGGACGGGUGAGUAACACGUGGGUAACCUACCUAUAAGACUGGGAUAACUUCGGGAAACCGGAGCUAAUACCGGAUAAUAUUUCGAACCGCAUGGUUCGAUAGUGAAAGAUGGUUUUGCUAUCACUUAUAGAUGGACCCGCGCCGUAUUAGCUAGUUGGUAAGGUAACGGCUUACCAAGGCGACGAUACGUAGCCGACCUGAGAGGGUGAUCGGCCACACUGGAACUGAGACACGGUCCAGACUCCUACGGGAGGCAGCAGUAGGGAAUCUUCCGCAAUGGGCGAAAGCCUGACGGAGCAACGCCGCGUGAGUGAUGAAGGUCUUCGGAUCGUAAAACUCUGUUAUUAGGGAAGAACAUACGUGUAAGUAACUGUGCACGUAUUGACGGUACCUAAUCAGAAAGCCACGGCUAACUACGUG